This 442-nucleotide ribosomal RNA is filed under the name uncultured bacterium. RNAcentral describes it as "partial 16S ribosomal RNA". It matches the Rfam family "Bacterial small subunit ribosomal RNA", at positions 338 to 795 of the family's 1533-position model. The record is from RNAcentral.
CCUACGGGGGGCUGCAGUAGGGAAUCUUUCACAAUGGGCGAAAGCCUGAUGGAGCAACGCCGCGUGCAGGAUGAAGGCCUUCGGGUUGUAAACUGCUUUUAUAAGCGAGAAAUAUGAUGGUAACUUAUGAAUAAGGAUCGGCUAAUUACGUGCCAGCAGCCGCGGCCAUACGUAGGAUCCGAGCAUUAUCCGGAGUGAUUGGGUGUAAAGAGUUGGGUAGGUGGGAUUAUAAGUAGGUAGUGGAAUCUGGUGGCUCAACCAUUCAGACUAUUAGCUAAACUGUUAAGCUCGAGACCGUUAGGGGUAACUGGAAUUUCUAGUGUAGGAGUGAAAUCCGUAGAUAUUAGAAGGAACACCAAUAGCGUAGGCAGGUUGCUGGGACGGUUCUGACACUAAGGCACGAAAGCGUAGGGAGCAAACGGGAUUAGAUACCCGUGUAGUC